GAUGAACGCUGGCGGCGUGCCUAAUACAUGCAAGUCGAGCGAACAGACGAGGAGCUUGCUCCUCUGACGUUAGCGGCGGACGGGUGAGUAACACGUGGAUAACCUACCUAUAAGACUGGGAUAACUUCGGGAAACCGUAGCUAAUACCGGAUAAUAUAUUGAACCGCAUGGUUCAAUAGUGAAAGACGGUUUUGCUGUCACUUAUAGAUGGAUCCGCGCCGCAUUAGCUAGUUGGUAAGGUAACGGCUUACCAAGGCAACGAUGCGUAGCCGACCUGAGGGGGUGAUCGGCCACACUGGAACUGAGACACGGCCCAGACUCCUACGGGAGGCAGCAGUAGGGAAUCUUCCGCAAUGGGCGAAAGCUUGACGGAGCAACGCCGCGUGAGUGAUGAAGGUCUUCGGAUCGUAAAACUCUGUUAUUAGGGAAGAACAAAUGUGUAAGUAACUAUGCACGUCUUGACGGUACCUAAUCAGAAAGCCACGGCUAACUACGUG
This 497-nucleotide ribosomal RNA is filed under the name uncultured bacterium. Its description in RNAcentral is "partial 16S ribosomal RNA". It matches the Rfam family "Bacterial small subunit ribosomal RNA", at positions 28 to 507 of the family's 1533-position model. The record is from RNAcentral.